Molecule: ribosomal RNA, 468 nt
Filed under: uncultured bacterium
Lineage: Bacteria
Description: SSU rRNA
Rfam family: Bacterial small subunit ribosomal RNA
Source: RNAcentral
AGGAUAAACGCUGGCGGCGUGCCUAAUCAAUGCGAGUCGAACGGGGGUCCUUCGGGGCCCAGUGGCGUCCGGGUGAGUAACGCGUAGCUAACCUACCCAACUGUGGGGGAUACCCGUCAGAAAUGGCGGCUAAUACCGCAUGCGGUGACACUCCGGAGGGGGUGGCAUCAAAGCCGAGAGGUGCAGAUGGAGGGGGCUGCGUCUGGUUAGCUAGUCGGUGGGGUAACGGCCUACCGAGGCAACGAUCAGUAGCUGGUCUGAGAGGAUGGUCAGCCACACUGGGACUGAGACAUGGUCCAGAGCUCUACGGGGUUUAGCAUGAAGGGAUAUUGCGCAAUGGGCGAAAGCCUGACGCAGCAACGCCGCGUGUGGGACGAAGCCUUUCGGGUGUAAACCGACUUUUCCCAGGGAAGAAGGAAGUGACGGUACCUGGGAAGAAGCCUUGGCUAAGUACGUGCCAGCAGCCGC